UGCCUGGCGGCGAUAGCGCGGUGGUCCCACCUGACCCCAUGCCGAACUCAGAAGUGAAACGCCGUAGCGCCGAUGGUAGUGUGGGGUCUCCCCAUGCGAGAGUAGGGAACUGCCAGGUUU
This 120-nucleotide ribosomal RNA is filed under the name Obesumbacterium proteus ATCC 12841. The record is from RNAcentral. Lineage: Bacteria; Pseudomonadati; Pseudomonadota; Gammaproteobacteria; Enterobacterales; Hafniaceae.